Molecule: ribosomal RNA, 253 nt
Filed under: uncultured bacterium
Lineage: Bacteria
Description: partial 16S ribosomal RNA
Rfam family: Bacterial small subunit ribosomal RNA
Source: RNAcentral
UACGAAGGGGGCUAGCGUUGCUCGGAAUCACUGGGCGUAAAGCGCACGUAGGCGGCUUUCUAAGUCGGGGGUGAAAUCCUGGAGCUCAACUCCAGAACUGCCUUUGAUACUGGAGAGCUUGAGUCCGGAAGAGGUGAGUGGAACUCCGAGUGUAGAGGUGAAAUUCGUAGAUAUUCGGAAGAACACCAGUGGCGAAGGCGGCUCUCUGGUCCGGUACUGACGCUGAGGUGCGAAAGCGUGGGGAGCAAACAGG